GAUGAACGCUGGCGGCGUGCUUAACACAUGCAAGUCGAACGAAGCUCCUUUGCUUGAGAUUUCGGUCAAGAGGAAAGGAUGACUUAGUGGCGGACGGGUGAGUAAUGCGUGAGCAACCUGCCCUUCAGAGGGGGACAACAGUUGGAAACGACUGCUAAUACCGCAUAAUGUAUUCGGGAGGCAUCUUCUGAAUACCAAAGAUUUAUCGCUGAAGGAUGGGCUCACGUCUGAUUAGCUAGUUGGUAGGGUAACGGCCUACCAAGGCGACGAUCAGUAGCCGGACUGAGAGGUUGGCCGGCCACAUUGGGACUGAGGUACGGCCCAGACUCCUACGGGAGGCAGCAGUGGGGAAUAUUGGGCAAUGGGCGCAAGCCUGACCCAGCAACGCCGCGUGAAGGAAGAAGGCUUUCGGGUUGUAAACUUCUUUUGGCAGGGACGAAGAAAGUGACGGUACCUGCAGAAUAAGCUCCGGCUAACUACGUGCCAGCAGCCGCGGUAAUACGUAGGGAGCGAGCGUUAUCCGGAUUUACUGGGUGUAAAGGGCGCGUAGGCGGGAAUGCAAGUCAGAUGUGAAAUCUCCGGGCUCAACCCGGAAACUGCAUUUGAAACUGUAUUUCUUGAGUGAUGGAGAGGCAAGCGGAAUUCCUAGUGUAGCGGUGAAAUGCGUAGAUAUUAGGAGGAACACCAGUGGCGAAGGCGGCUUGCUGGACAUUAACUGACGCUGAGGCGCGAAAGCGUGGGGAGCAAACAGGAUUAGAUACCCUGGUAGUCCACGCCGUAACGAUGAAUACUAGGUGUGGGGGGACUGACCCCCUCCGUGCCGGAGUUAACACAAUAAGUAUUCCACCUGGGGAGUACGACCGCAGGUGAAACUCAA
Molecule: ribosomal RNA, 877 nt
Filed under: uncultured bacterium
Lineage: Bacteria
Description: bacterial SSU rRNA
Rfam family: Bacterial small subunit ribosomal RNA
Source: RNAcentral